Molecule: long non-coding RNA, 2401 nt
Organism: Podarcis muralis (Common wall lizard)
Lineage: Eukaryota; Metazoa; Chordata; Lepidosauria; Squamata; Lacertidae
Source: RefSeq, a predicted model, not a curated record
GUUCUACAAAGGGAAACACUGAGACAAAGGAAGAGAAAGCUGAAAGGCAAUCCCAUCCCAAGGACUGGUUAUAAGAAAGAAGAUCAUUAAAAAUAUAUAUAGCGCUGUUUGAAGUCUUCUGCAGGAACAAAUGAACCAAACCUUAGAAGCUGCCUUUUAUUGUUAGUCCAGCAAGCCCAACAUUGUCUAUACUUUCGCUCUCCAGAGUUUCACACAGGAGUCUUUCCCCAAUGCUGGAACUGGUUGAACCCAGAUCACUUUGGACACAAAGCAUGCAUACCACUGAUGUACAAUCUAUUCCCACAAGUCUGUAUCCGUCAAGGCCCCUCAGGCUUAUACACACCAGAAGCAAGAAGGUAGACCACAAUCCACCAAUGGGCUAAUGGGCAUGGCCAAUUUCUGAUAGGUUCCCAAGUGCCGGACUCUUGUAAAGAAUGUUGGACUAGAUCAGCUUGGUGCCCUCCAGAUGUUUUGGACCUCUGCUCCCAUCUGUAACCUCUGUACAGCUCUGUACAUCUAUACCUCUGCACAGUCGAAACUCUCCCCAUCCCUAGAAAUUUCUCCAUGGAUGUUGAAGUUCUGAAUUACCUGGUUUUGUUUCUGAAGUAGAACUGGUGAAUGAGAAAUUCUUCAUUACUCUGAGUUUUGUAAAAUUUUGUGUCUGGAUUUUGUAUGAAGGCCUUUGCCCCUACAGCCAGGAAUAAAGAGAAGGGCACACAUGGUGGGUUAAUUAAAGAGCCACAGCUUUUAUCCAACUUAUUGAGACUUAUAUUUUAUAUGGCCAAUGUAUUUAAACUGGCUUACACCCUGGUGCCAAUUUACCCCAAUUCACUCAAUAAAAUAGCGUAGUAUAGUGGAUUCCAUCGUGGGUUGGAUGGCUCACAUAAAUAAAAAUAAAUUAGUUGGAAAUGAGAGUUUUCACAGCUUAAACCUGUGUGUUUGGUAUCUGUAUGGAAUAAUUGUGGUUCAGAUAGGAGAUACAUACACACACACACACACACACAGAGAGAGAGAGAGAGAGAGAGAGAGAGAGAGAGAAAUGAAUUUGAGUCCAGGAUCAAAGCAUACAGGUAAAGAUGACACUAAUCCCUUUUGUACUGUAUCAUGUUUCAUUCUAUCUUAUCAACAGACUGCUUCUGAGAUCACAAACUCCACCUGACUUGCUCAUGCUUCCACCAUCUUUGCCCAUGAAAACUUUGCUGUGUUGCUAUGGUGGGGCAUGUAAUGACACCUAGCGGUCAGAAAAAUCCACUACACAUGCAUAAUCCCUUUGGUUCCCUUUCAGGGUGUCCUUCCUCAAAUAUUUUAUGCGAUGCGAACCUAAUGAAUAUUGCUGCUUUUCAAGCCAACCUCUAAACUUUUGUAGAGUCUACAGUUUGAGUCUCGGAUGAUUUGAGAUGACUAAGAUGAAAGCAGACUUUCAAAAGCUUCUGAAACAGCCUUUCAAGCCAAUGAGCCAGUGAGCAUAUAGUUUGGAGAGUGAGGACUAUCAACAGUCAUAUUCAUGUAUCAUCACAAAUGAAGGAUGCCAAUCAUUUGUCUGUGAAAGUUACAGAAUAUGAAGGACAGAAGGGGGAGACACAAUUCUCUGGUUCUUCUAGUGCUGAGGAAAUGGACCAACCCAUAUUGGGACUUCAGAGAAGUGGCAGAGAAAAACGUUUCAGAGUUGGGGAUCUGGCUGAAUAAAGGUGAAAGCAGAGCAGCAGCAAAGGAACAAUGUGUCUGAGAGGGGAAUGAAACCAUUAGAGGCUAGGAGGAGCACCAAGGAGAAUAAGAACAACCAAGUCUGAAGGGGAAACUCCUGGAGAAGUAGUAAAGAGUGGGGGAAUGGAUUAAUUUCAGAAAGUCAAUGCAUUCACAUAGUUAUUUGUAAAUUGCUUGUAAUAAUUUAACCUGUAAUUGAUGGAGUGAUCUAGUUUUUAUUUCCUUGCUGAUAUAUUGUUGGUACUGCCUUGCAUGCGAAAUGGAUCCAUGAAUUAUGUUAGCUUGUUAUUAGCUUGAAUUCUGUUGGCUUAUUAUUGAUUUCUUAUAGGAUAGCAAAGUGAUUUUUGUUGUAUAUAUUUUCUCAUUUCUACAGAUUGCAUAUUGCUGUUGAGUACAGUAUUCUUUGGAUACUGAAACUUUUUGGGGAGGGGGGUCCUCACCCAUUUUAGGUACAAUAAAAAGUGAGAAUUGGGGGAGCUUAUUUAAAAAACCACCUUACUCUGCAAAAUCUGGAUCCUUUCUCCCUCUCUCUGUGAAGGGUGUGACAAACAAUGUUUGCGUUUCUCAGCGUCUAUAAUAUACGUAAGUUGUUUUCAUAUUGCAUUCUUUAAUAUAAUUGUAUGUUGCCUUGGGUGUUUUGUCAGCUGAAAUGUGGCCUAUACAUUUUAAUGUAAAUAAAUGAAUUUGGUUGACAGGA